CCGCUAGAGAUAUUGGGCCUAAAGCAUCCGUAGCCGGUUCUGUAAGUUUCCGGUUAAGUCCACUAGCUCAACUAAUGGGCUGCCGGAAAUACUGUUCAGCUAGGGAGUGGGAGAGGUAGACGGUACUCGAUAGGAAGGGGUAAAAUCCUUUGAUCUAUUGAUGACCACCUGUGGCGAAGGCGGUCUACCAGAACACGUUCGACGGUGAGGGAUGAGAGCUGGGGGAGCAAACCGGAUUAGAUACCCGGGUAGUCCCAGCUGUAAACUAUGCAAACUCAGUGAUGCAUUGGCUUGUGGCCAAUGCAGUGCUGCAGGGAAGCCGUUAAGUUUGCCGCCUGGGAAGUACGUACGCAAGUAUGAAACUUAAAGGAAUUGGCGGGGGAGCAC
This 387-nucleotide ribosomal RNA is filed under the name uncultured archaeon. RNAcentral describes it as "bacterial SSU rRNA". It matches the Rfam family "Archaeal small subunit ribosomal RNA", at positions 492 to 879 of the family's 1478-position model. The record is from RNAcentral.